AAAAAUAGAAAGUAGAAAAUUAAAUUCAUUAGCUCCAAUUACUAAAUGAUUCAUCUGGCUGGCUAAUGAAGCUGAGCAUUAUGCUAACAAGAUAAAGGCAAGAAUAACAUGUGGGGAUGUGCGGCUGCAGGCACGCUGGGCCUGUUCUACUGGAAACGCAAGGCUGAGGAGCUCUGUGCCUUGAGAUGGAUGGCAAGAUACAAAAUCAAAAAGGUGUUUUAAUCCUGAGGAAGAGUGUGAGUCUGGGAAAAUUUUGGAUCACCGAGGUGCAGCCAUACCUUCCACAGCCAUCACUGUUGCUUACAACUCACAUGCCAAGAAUUGCAAGAUGAAGAUGGUGAUCAGGAGGCAUGACUUGUAACUACUUGGUUAGUGUAAAGCAGAGAGGAGAAUUAGGAGAGGCAGAUGGCAGAGAGGUCUGCCAUGGAAGAUUCAUGGAUGACAGGAGAGGCUGUGUUCCAGAAUGCAAGGAAGAAGAGCCCAAGGACCGUAGCAAGGCCCUGAUUCUGGGAGACAAGAGAACACGCUGACUUAGAAUGCUUGUCUCUGCAUCCUGGUCAGAAAGUAGAUAGACGACACUUUCAUCUCCGACUGGAUUUUGGUGAGAGAUGGGCAAACCCCCG
This 623-nucleotide long non-coding RNA is filed under the name Pan troglodytes (chimpanzee). RNAcentral describes it as "long non-coding RNA NONPTRT001926". The record is from RNAcentral. Lineage: Eukaryota; Metazoa; Chordata; Mammalia; Primates; Hominidae.